AAAGGGUAGCAAUACCUGAGUAAAGCGGCGCACGGGUGAGUAACACGUGGAUAACCUGCCUCAAAGUGGGGAAUAACACCGGGAAACCGGUGCUAAUACCGCAUAUUCUGACGAGAUCUGUGGAUUUUGUCAGGAAAGGAGCAAUUCGCUAUGAGAGGGGUCCGCGGCUGAUUAGCUAGUUGGUGAGGUAAUGGCUCACCAAGGCUUCGAUCAGUAGCCGGUCUGAGAGGACGGUCGGCCACACUGGAACUGAGACACGGUCCAGACUCCUACGGGAGGCAGCAGUGGGGAAUUUUUCGCAAUGGGGGCAACCCUGACGAAGCAAUGCCGCGUGGAUGAUGAAGUAUCUCGGUACGUAAAAUCCUUUCGACGGGGACGAAGCCGCAAGGUUGACGGUACCCGUAGAAGAAGCCCCGGCUAACUCCGUGCCAGCAGCCGCGGUAAUACGGGGGGGGCAAGCGUUGUUCGGAAUUACUGGGCGUAAAGGGUGCGUAGGCGGCUUUCUAAGUCGGAUGUGAAAACUCUGGGCUCAACCCAGAGCCUGCAUCCGAAACUGGAGAGCUAGGGUUCUGGAGGGGAAAGCGGAAUUCCUGGUGUAGCGGUGAAAUGCGUAGAUAUCAGGAGGAACACCGGUGGCGAAGGCGGCUUUCUGGACAGAUACCGACGCUGAGGCACGAAAGCUAGGGGAGCAAACAGGAUUAGAUACCCUGGUAGUCCUAGCCCUAAACUAUGGAUACUUGCUGUGGGGGGGAUUGAAGCCCCUUGUGGCGAAGCUAACGCAUUAAGUAUCCCGCCUGGGGAGUACGGUCGCAAGGCUGAAACUC
RNAcentral lists this ribosomal RNA (824 nucleotides) under uncultured Bacillota bacterium. RNAcentral's name for it is "bacterial SSU rRNA". It matches the Rfam family "Bacterial small subunit ribosomal RNA", at positions 71 to 902 of the family's 1533-position model. Lineage: Bacteria; Bacillati; Bacillota. The record is from RNAcentral.